UACGGAGGGGGCUAGCGUUGUUCGGAUUUACUGGGCGUAAAGGGCGCGUAGGCGGCGUGGUAAGUCACUUGCGAAAUCUCUGAGCUUAACUCAGAACGGCCAAGUGAUACUGCUGUGCUAGAGUGCAGAAGGGGCAAUCGGAAUUCUUGGUGUAGCGGUGAAAUGCGUAGAUAUCAAGAGGAACACCUGAGGUGAAGACGGGUUGCUGGGCUGACACUGACGCUGAGGCGCGAAAGCCAGGGGAGCAAACGGG
This 253-nucleotide ribosomal RNA is filed under the name uncultured bacterium. RNAcentral describes it as "partial 16S ribosomal RNA". It matches the Rfam family "Bacterial small subunit ribosomal RNA", at positions 524 to 776 of the family's 1533-position model. The record is from RNAcentral.